GAUGAACGCUAGCUACAGGCUUAACACAUGCAAGUCGCGGGGUAACAUCUGGGAGAGCUUGCUCUUCCAGGAUGACGACCGGCGCACGGGUGAGUAACGCGUAUCCAACCUGGCCCAUACCACGGGAUAGCCCGUCGAAAGGCGGAUUAAUACCGUAUGCUGUCAUUAAGAGGCAUUUUUUGAUGACGAAAGGACUGGCGGUAUGGGAUGGGGAUGCGUCUGAUUAGCUUGUUGGCGGGGUAACGGCCCACCAAGGCGACGAUCAGUAGGGGUUCUGAGAGGAAGGUCCCCCACAUUGGAACUGAGACACGGUCCAAACUCCUACGGGAGGCAGCAGUGAGGAAUAUUGGUCAAUGGGCGCAAGCCUGAACCAGCCAAGUAGCGUGAGGGAAGACUGCCCUACGGGUUGUAAACCUCUUUUGUUUGGGAAUAAAGUGCGGGACGUGUCCCGNAUUGCAUGUACCAUUUGAAUAAGGACCGGCUAAUUCCGUG
This 492-nucleotide ribosomal RNA is filed under the name uncultured bacterium. RNAcentral describes it as "bacterial SSU rRNA". It matches the Rfam family "Bacterial small subunit ribosomal RNA", at positions 28 to 507 of the family's 1533-position model. The record is from RNAcentral.